Molecule: non-coding RNA, 22 nt
Filed under: Arabidopsis thaliana (thale cress)
Lineage: Eukaryota; Viridiplantae; Streptophyta; Magnoliopsida; Brassicales; Brassicaceae
Source: RNAcentral
CGUGUGGAUGCUCUUCUCUGCC